RNAcentral lists this ribosomal RNA (451 nucleotides) under Oligella sp. PB2-1. RNAcentral describes it as "bacterial SSU rRNA". It matches the Rfam family "Bacterial small subunit ribosomal RNA", at positions 30 to 469 of the family's 1533-position model. The record is from RNAcentral. Lineage: Bacteria; Pseudomonadati; Pseudomonadota; Betaproteobacteria; Burkholderiales; Alcaligenaceae.
AUUGAACGCUAGCGGGAUGCUUUACACAUGCAAGUCGAACGGCAGCACAGAGGAACUUGUUCCUUGGGUGGCGAGUGGCGGACGGGUGAGUAAUGUAUCGGAACGUGCCCAGUAGUGGGGGAUAACUACGCGAAAGCGUGGCUAAUACCGCAUAUUCUCUACGGAGGAAAGGGGGGGAUCAUUUGACCUCUCGCUAUUGGAGCGGCCGAUAUUAGAUUAGCUAGUUGGUGGGGUAACGGCCUACCAAGGCGAUGAUCUAUAGCUGGUUUGAGAGGACGACCAGCCACACUGGGACUGAGACACGGCCCAGACUCCUACGGGAGGCAGCAGUGGGGAAUUUUCGACAAUGGGGGGAACCCUGAUCGAGCCAUCCCGCGUGUGGGACGAAGGCCUUCGGGUUGUAAACCACUUUUCUCAACGAAGAAAAGCCUUAGACUAAUACUCUGAGGUG